GUACGGAUUUAGUAAAUAUCAGAUUACAGAUCAAGCGAUAGCGUACCGUUGAUCGUUCUGUCUCCCCUUCUUUUGGGAAUAGGGGUCUCCUUAUAUAAGCCUUGGGAGGUGUGCUUAUUUUGGAAUCUCCGAUGUGGGACUGUAGGAGUGGAUUGUGGGCAUGACACGUGUCCAAGAGCAAAAGCACCAGGAUGCAUAUGAUUCGGUAGGGUCCUUGCCGAAGGGCUUGCAGUGUUAAAUGUUGACUCCGUCCACGUGUCAGGUGGUCAUUGGUCGUUAAUAUGCGGUAUAAACAGUAGUCCCCCAAGUUCUCUUCCGAAGGUUCUUCGGAAGGGAAUUUGGUUCUCCCCUGAAGGUUCGUAGCUGUCCUGCCGUUCGGCAAGUUCGCUUGGGGAAGGUUCCCCUGGGAUCCGAUGGGUCGCCGAUGCUCAGAGGAGAGAGGGCAGAGACGCCUCGUUUCCCG
This 463-nucleotide long non-coding RNA is filed under the name Prunus dulcis (almond). Its description in RNAcentral is "sRNA ncRNA". Lineage: Eukaryota; Viridiplantae; Streptophyta; Magnoliopsida; Rosales; Rosaceae. The record is from RNAcentral.